This 478-nucleotide ribosomal RNA is filed under the name uncultured bacterium. RNAcentral describes it as "partial 16S ribosomal RNA". It matches the Rfam family "Bacterial small subunit ribosomal RNA", at positions 29 to 507 of the family's 1533-position model. The record is from RNAcentral.
AUGAACGCUAGCGGGAGGCCUAACACAUGCAAGCCGAGCGGUAUGGGUAGCUUGCUACCCAGAGAGCGGCGUACGGGUGCGUAACACGUGUGCAACCUGCCCCUAUCCGGGGGAUAGCCCUCCGAAAGGAGGAUUAAUACCCCAUAAUAUAUCUGGUGGCAUCACUAGAUAUUGAAAACCCCGGUGGAUAGGGAUGGGCACGCGCAAGAUUAGAUAGUUGGCGGGGUAACGGCCCACCAAGUCGAUGAUCUUUAGGGGUCCUGAGAGGGAGAUCCCCCACACUGGUACUGAGACACGGACCAGACUCCUACGGGAGGCAGCAGUGAGGAAUAUUGGACAAUGGGUGGAAGCCUGAUCCAGCCAUCCCGCGUGAGGGACGACGGCCCUAUGGGUUGUAAACCUCUUUUGUACGGGGAUAAACCUAUCUACGUGUAGAUAGCUGAAGGUACCGUACGAAUAAGCACCGGCUAACUCCGUG